GUUAAGUUUAAUCUUCUCCUGAUUCUCCUUAAUUUUUUCUUUGAAAGAAUCCCACUCCAAAUGGUCCUAUGUAUACCUCUCUCGGUGUCAUAACUAAGGGAGCUAUUAUUGAGGUGAAUGUGAGUGAACUGGGUUUGGUCACACCAGCUGGGAAAGUAGUAUGGGGGAAGUAUGCUCAGGUGACCAAUAAUCCGGAGAAUGACGGCUGUAUAAAUGCUGUGCUGCUUGUCUAAUCGAAGCGAUGAUGGAAAAGAGAUUAAAAUUAGACUUUUGGAGCAGCAGAGGUAGCUUUAUUUUUGAAGCGGUAGUAGAGAUUUUUUUUUCUUCUUUUUCCCCUCCGGGUAUUAGUUCUCUUCGUUGACAUGUAAUCACAAAUGUAUUCUUAUUUAAAUAUAUAUUUUCCAUGCGGAUUUAGUCCCUGCAGGCUGCAAAGCGAUG
RNAcentral lists this unclassified non-coding RNA (438 nucleotides) under Hevea brasiliensis (rubber tree). The record is from RNAcentral. Lineage: Eukaryota; Viridiplantae; Streptophyta; Magnoliopsida; Malpighiales; Euphorbiaceae.